Long non-coding RNA from Homo sapiens (human), 698 nucleotides. Lineage: Eukaryota; Metazoa; Chordata; Mammalia; Primates; Hominidae. The record is from Ensembl.
AAGGGAUGAAGUGGCAGGAGAAAUGAAGUCUUCCUAACUCUGGCCUCCUGCUGCUACACAAGCCAGGCCAAUGAUGUGGCAAGUCCAAGGGGCACAUGGCUUUUCAGUGUCAUUGUUUGAGGAGGCCAUGAGUGGUUUAGCUGGUGGCCUCUGCUUCUUUUUCUUUUGAGUGCUUCUGAAUACAUGACUGUGCUCUGAAUACAGAGCUACCACUGCGGGGUAAACCAAGCCACAGCUGUCCUCUUCCAAGGUUAGGGUCGCUGCUCAGCAGGAGCUGAUGUGCUACAAGGAAUGAUGAUCUUCUACUGGACAACAGAACCAGGCCUCCUGACUGCCCCUCCCUGCGCUCCGGGCCUGCAGAAGGCGCCUGAUGUGACUUCGCAUUAUUUUGAAGCUGGAAAGGCAGACAUUUUAAGCCCUAAAGAGGUUUUGCCUUCUGAGCACCAGCACAAAAGGGAACUUUCAGUAAUUCCUUUUGCCAGCAAGACAUGGAUAUUUUGCAGAAGUGUUGGCUCGACUAUAGGUGUCACAGAUGAGGCUCUGAGUAUGCCAAGAUUUGAGCCAGCCUGCCUGGGAGCCCCUCACAGCUAUUGAGGAGGAAGGCUCUGACCAGUACAGUCCUUGCAAAGAGGGAGUGAGCAUGCUGGCUCUCUGCGGGCCAGGUUUGGCUCUCAACAUGUCCUGUUUCGCUUAAACAA